CAAUUACUCCCUCCGUUCAAAAAUACUUGUUAGAGAAAUGGAUAAAAAUAUAUGUAUCUAGAACUUAAAUACAUCUAGAUACAUCCAUCCCUGCGACAAGUAUUUCCGGACGGAGGGAGUACCAU
This is a non-coding RNA of Triticum aestivum (bread wheat), 125 nucleotides long. The record is from Rfam. Lineage: Eukaryota; Viridiplantae; Streptophyta; Magnoliopsida; Poales; Poaceae.